RNAcentral lists this ribosomal RNA (253 nucleotides) under uncultured bacterium. RNAcentral describes it as "partial 16S ribosomal RNA". It matches the Rfam family "Bacterial small subunit ribosomal RNA", at positions 524 to 776 of the family's 1533-position model. The record is from RNAcentral.
UACGGGGGGAGCAAGCGUUGUUCGGAUUUACUGGGCGUAAAGGGCGCGUAGGCGGCGCACCAAGUCACUUGUGAAAUCUCCGGGCUUAACCCGGAGCGGCCAAGUGAUACUGUCGUGCUAGAGUGCGGAAGGGGCUACUGGAAUUCUCGGUGUAGCGGUGAAAUGCGUAGAUAUCGAGAGGAACACCGGCGGCGAAGGCGGGUAGCUGGGCCGACACUGACGCUGAGGCGCGAAAGCCAGGGGAGCGAACGGG